This is a non-coding RNA of Vicugna pacos (alpaca), 414 nucleotides long. Lineage: Eukaryota; Metazoa; Chordata; Mammalia; Artiodactyla; Camelidae. The record is from the annotation of a RefSeq genome assembly.
AUGGAGAGGAAUCCUUGGCCAGUCUCAUUGCUGAUCCUGUGGCUUCAUCUUGGUGGAGGGAGCCUCCUCUUGAGCAUGAAACAGGGUCCUCCACGGGUGCACGUUCAGGAAGGAGAGAGCACCAAUGCCACCUGCAGUUUCCCUUCCAGCUCUUUUUAUGCUUUUCACUGGUACAGAUGGGAACCUGCAAAAAGUGCCCAGAACCUGUUUGUAAUGUCUUUAAAUGGGGAUGAAAAGGAGGAAGGACGAAUUAGAGUCACUCUGAAUACUAAGGACGGUCACAGCUACCUGUACAUCAAAGGACCCCAGCCCGAGGGCUCAGCCACAUGCCUCUGUGCCUCCACACAGUGCUCUGCAGUCACCUGCAGCCCCUGCCCAAACCGGUGCCUGGUGCUGCUCUGGUGCCACAGUUGA